GGCCCGUUCGUCUAGCGGUUAGGACGCCGCCCUCUCAAGGCGGUAACAGGGGUUCGAUUCCCCUACGGGCU
This 71-nucleotide transfer RNA is filed under the name Fidelibacterota bacterium. RNAcentral describes it as "tRNA-Glu". It matches the Rfam family "tRNA". From Rfam's summary of the family: Transfer RNA (tRNA) molecules are approximately 80 nucleotides in length. Their secondary structure includes four short double-helical elements and three loops (D, anti-codon, and T loops). Further hydrogen bonds mediate the characteristic L-shaped molecular structure. tRNAs have two regions of fundamental functional importance: the anti-codon, which is responsible for specific mRNA codon recognition, and the 3' end, to which the tRNAs corresponding amino acid is attached (by aminoacyl-tRNA synthetases). tRNAs cope with the degeneracy of the genetic code in two manners: having more than one tRNA (with a specific anti-codon) for a particular amino acid; and 'wobble' base-pairing, i.e. permitting non-standard base-pairing at the 3rd anti-codon position. Lineage: Bacteria; Pseudomonadati; Fidelibacterota. The record is from RNAcentral.